Non-coding RNA from Hordeum vulgare subsp. vulgare (domesticated barley), 124 nucleotides. Lineage: Eukaryota; Viridiplantae; Streptophyta; Magnoliopsida; Poales; Poaceae. The record is from Rfam.
UUUGUACUCCCUCCGUCCGGAAAUACUUGUCCUAGAAAUGAAUAAAAUGGAUGUAUCUAUAACUAAAAUAAGUCUAUAUACAUCCAUUUCUAGGACAAGUAUUUUCGGACGGAGGGAGUAUUAU